AGAAUCAACGCUGGCGGCGUGCCUAACACAUGCAAGUCGAACGGGAAAGUGGAGCAAUCCAUGAGUAUAGUGGCGACCGGGUGAGUAACACGUGACUACCUACCCUUGAGUGGGGGAUAACCUCGGGAAACCGAGGCUAAUACCGCAUAACAUCGAAAGAUCAAAGGAGUAAUCCGCUUUUGGAGGGGUCGCGGCUGAUUAGCUAGUUGGUAGGGUAAUGGCCUACCAAGGCGAAGAUCGGUA
This 243-nucleotide ribosomal RNA is filed under the name uncultured bacterium. Its description in RNAcentral is "partial small subunit ribosomal RNA". It matches the Rfam family "Bacterial small subunit ribosomal RNA", at positions 26 to 285 of the family's 1533-position model. The record is from RNAcentral.